RNAcentral lists this ribosomal RNA (216 nucleotides) under Pleurobranchus areolatus. Its description in RNAcentral is "partial 16S ribosomal RNA". Lineage: Eukaryota; Metazoa; Mollusca; Gastropoda; Pleurobranchida; Pleurobranchidae. The record is from RNAcentral.
AAUGAUAAUGGAAUUAUUUUCAAGAUAUUUUUGUUGGGGCGACACAGAAACAAGUGAUAACUUUCUGGAGAAUACAUGACGAUUUUUAUAAGAUCGGAAAAAUUACCUGAGGGAUAACAGCAUAAUUUUAUAGUUUAGUUUGUGACCUCGAUGUUGGACUAGGAAAUUAAUAGACUAGCCGUUUAUUAUAUUGGUUCUGUUCGAACUGUUUUUCCU